AUACAUGAGCAAAAUCUCAACUUUAUUAGAAGAGACGCAUUUAUUAGAUAAAAAGCCAAUGCAUGCUUUUACAGUAUGGAAAUUGGUGAUUUAUAAUAACUUGGCAAAUCGCAAAGUGAAAACAGGCGAUAAAUCAUUCAAGUUUCUGACCUAUCAGCUUUCGACGGUAUGGUAUUGGCUUACCGUGGCAGUGACGGUUAACGGGGGAUUAGGGUUCGAUUCCGGAGAGGGAGCCUGAGAAACGGCUACCACAUCUAAGGAAGGCAGCAGGCGCGCAAAUUACCCAAUUCUAACAGUUUGAGAGAGGUAGUAACAAGAAAUAACAAUACAAGGCAAUUAAAAUGCUUUGUAAUUGGAAUGAUAGAAAUUUAAACCCCUUUUAAAGUAUCAAUUGGAGGGCAAGUCUGGUGCCAGCAGCCGCGGUAAUUCCAGCUCCAAUAGCGUAUAUUAAAAUUGUUGCAGUUAAAAAGCUCGUAGUUGAAGUUCUGCUAAAAGUAACCGGUCUGCUUUUAAUAAAAGUGGUAUCUUGGUGUGUAUUUAGCAAUGAUGUCCUUUGAAGUGUUUUUUACUUUAUUGUAAUAAAGCAUAUUCAGGACUUUUACUUUGAGAAAAUUAGAGUGUUUCUAGCAGGCCGACGCUUUGAAUACUGCAGCAUGGAAUAAUAAG
This 666-nucleotide ribosomal RNA is filed under the name Hepatozoon canis. Its description in RNAcentral is "SSU rRNA". It matches the Rfam family "Eukaryotic small subunit ribosomal RNA", at positions 167 to 821 of the family's 1831-position model. Lineage: Eukaryota; Apicomplexa; Hepatozoidae. The record is from RNAcentral.